UACGUAGGGUCCGAGCGUUGUCCGGAGUUACUGGGCGUAAAGAGCGCGCAGGCGGUCGUUCAAGUCGCGUGUGAAAGCCCCCGGCUCAACUGGGGAGGGUCACGCGAUACUGAUCGACUCGAAGGCAGGAGAGGGAAGUGGAAUUCCCGGUGUAGUGGUGAAAUGCGUAGAUAGUCGGGAGGAACACCAGUGGCGAAGGCGACUUCCUGGCCUGUUCUUGACGCUGAGGCGCGAAAGCUAGGGGAGCAAACGGG
RNAcentral lists this ribosomal RNA (254 nucleotides) under uncultured bacterium. RNAcentral's name for it is "partial 16S ribosomal RNA". It matches the Rfam family "Bacterial small subunit ribosomal RNA", at positions 524 to 776 of the family's 1533-position model. The record is from RNAcentral.